Molecule: long non-coding RNA, 1366 nt
Organism: Oncorhynchus tshawytscha (Chinook salmon)
Lineage: Eukaryota; Metazoa; Chordata; Actinopteri; Salmoniformes; Salmonidae
Source: Ensembl
CAUGCGUCGUAAACAGCAGGUGUAGACUAACAGGGAAAAUCUUACUUUACGGGCCCUUCCCAGCAAUGCAGAGAGAGAAAGAAUAGAAAAAGAAUAACACAAGGAAUAAAAUACACAUUGAAUAACGAUAACUUGGCUAUAUACACGGAGUAACAGUACCUAGUCGGUGUGCAGAGGUACGGGGUAAUUGAGGUCGAUUGCUGUCAUCUUGCCGUUUUCCUGCUUCACCUCAUCGAGCUGACCCUGGGAGAACUGCAAACUGUUCUUCAAGUCCUGGACCUCUCUGGUCAGGUCGUUUAUUAGUUGAAUCGACCAGUAUUUGGACAAAACACUUGAAGCUAUUUUCUUGUUGUUCUAAUAACUGCGUGUUGAACUCUUUUUGUUUGUUUAAAGAAGUUCACCUGUGAUAGAGAGACUCCACUGUCCUCAACGGUACUACCGCCGGCUUUUAUCUUUGUCAUGGUAGCUAGCAACGUAGUUUACGCUGUUACUCCUCGCAGUUCCAGACAGUGCAGGUCAUAGGGAAGAUUGAACACAAUAAACAGCAGGGAUCUAGACAGCCACAAACCCGGAACAAUCCGCGGUCCCAGACACAAUGGCUAACCUUGUCGCAGGCUGACCAAUCGGAAUCCACGCUUCAAGAUUGUUUUGAUCACGCGGACUGGGAUAUGUUCCGGGUAGCCUCCAAGAAUAAUAUUGACACAUAUAUUGAUAUGGUGACUGAGUUUAUUAGGAAAUGUAUAUGAGAUGUUGUACUCACUGUGACUAUUUAAAACCUACCCAAAUCAGAAACCGUGGAUAGAUGAAAGCGUGAACCAUCGCAUUUAACCAUGUGUUACGGAUACAAGUAUUCUGUGUGUGUAUCCUGUGUGUGUUUCUUUUCUCUCCUUCUCCCCUCACAGGUGAAAAUCAUCACUCCCCAAUCAGACAACAAUCAAUCAUCAAUCAGAAGACACACCUCCUCCUAUUUCCUACCCUAUCACAGUUCCUUUCCCUUGGUUUAAUUAAAAACCCCAUCAUUUGUUUGCUCUAGAGCUCAAUCUCUCUGUAAAUGCCAUGUCUGUAGGUCUCUGUGUUUCACUCUCGCUUUGUGUCUUAACCUCUCUUUUGUUUGAGCACCUCCAUAGCACUUUGUCAUCACCUGUGAGUAUUGUUUUUGGUUAUGGUGUUUGUUUGUGCUGGUGGGAAAAGGGGGAAACCAAGACAAGUCGCCCAUGGGCAUACACUACCCGUAGGUGAACUUUGUUAAAUACACUAGUUAGAACUGGGCGGACCACCCACUGUAUUUUUGGUUAGUUAGUUAGCUGUUGUUAAAGUAGGCUAGUCUAGCUUAGAAGUGUUUUUGUAUAUUGUUUCUUUCCUUGGG